RNAcentral lists this non-coding RNA (25 nucleotides) under Cricetulus griseus (Chinese hamster). The record is from RNAcentral. Lineage: Eukaryota; Metazoa; Chordata; Mammalia; Rodentia; Cricetidae.
UUCUGCUUCUGACAGACAUCUGAGU